CUCGUUUGAAUUGUUUUACAUUGUCAUAUCGGGGCCUUUUAUAGCUGACUAUGCGGUAUGGGCUCUGCUCAUUGUUGAAGGCCGUACGGUGACCUAUAGUUGUUUAAAAUGUCUGUGUCAUUUUGGUCUCUUGUGGCCAGUUGUCUCAUUGUCAAUCAUACCACAUCUUCUUUUUUAUAUUUCACAUAUUCUUUUUAAUUUAGCACUCCAAUUAUAAAUAUACC
This 224-nucleotide long non-coding RNA is filed under the name Mytilus galloprovincialis (Mediterranean mussel). Lineage: Eukaryota; Metazoa; Mollusca; Bivalvia; Mytilida; Mytilidae. The record is from RNAcentral.